UAAUAAGUGUUUUUAUUAUGGCACUUUUUAAAUCCAUAUCCACCUUGUGUGCAAUGUCAGUCGAUCUUCUUCAUUUUGAGGAUCGACCCAAAACAUCAACCUUUAUUUUUUUAACUCUUUGUCUGAAAAAUAUUAUGAAUAAACAGUUCAAAAUA
This 155-nucleotide unclassified non-coding RNA is filed under the name soil metagenome. Its description in RNAcentral is "partial internal transcribed spacer 1". The record is from RNAcentral.